CGAAGGGGGCUAGCGUUGCUCGGAAUCACUGGGCGUAAAGGGCGCGUAGGCGGUUUUUAAGUCGGGGGUGAAAGCCUGUGGCUCAACCACAGAAUGGCCUUCGAUACUGGAAGACUUGAGACCGGAAGAGGACAGCGGAACUGCGAGUGUAGAGGUGAAAUUCGUAGAUAUUCGCAAGAACACCAGUGGCGAAGGCGGCUGUCUGGUCCGGUUCUGACGCUGAGGCGCGAAAGCGUGGGGAGCAAACAGGAUU
Molecule: ribosomal RNA, 253 nt
Filed under: uncultured bacterium
Lineage: Bacteria
Description: partial 16S ribosomal RNA
Rfam family: Bacterial small subunit ribosomal RNA
Source: RNAcentral